RNAcentral lists this ribosomal RNA (252 nucleotides) under uncultured bacterium. RNAcentral's name for it is "partial 16S ribosomal RNA". It matches the Rfam family "Bacterial small subunit ribosomal RNA", at positions 524 to 775 of the family's 1533-position model. The record is from RNAcentral.
UACGGGGGGGGCAAGCGUUGUUCGGAAUUACUGGGCGUAAAGGGCGCGUAGGCGGCCUGCUAAGUCGGAUGUGAAAUCCCUCGGCUCAACCGAGGAACUGCAUCCGAUACUGGCGGGCUUGAAUCCGGGAGAGGGAUGUGGAAUUCCAGGUGUAGCGGUGAAAUGCGUAGAUAUCUGGAGGAACACCGGUGGCGAAGGCGGCAUCCUGGACCGGCAUUGACGCUGAGGCGCGAAAGCUAGGGGAGCAACGGG